This 147-nucleotide ribosomal RNA is filed under the name Mortierella sp. 1S14B. Its description in RNAcentral is "5.8S ribosomal RNA". It matches the Rfam family "5.8S ribosomal RNA". From Rfam's summary of the family: 5.8S ribosomal RNA (5.8S rRNA) is a component of the large subunit of the eukaryotic ribosome. It is transcribed by RNA polymerase I as part of the 45S precursor that also contains 18S and 28S rRNA. The record is from RNAcentral. Lineage: Eukaryota; Fungi; Mortierellomycota; Mortierellomycetes; Mortierellales; Mortierellaceae.
UAACUUUCAACAACGGAUCUCUUGGCUCUCGCAUCGAUGAAGAACGCAGCGAAAUGCGAUACGYAAUGUGAAUUGCAGAAUUCAGUGAAUCAUCGAAUCUUUGAACGCAUAUUGCGCUCUUUGGUAUUCCGAAGAGCAUGYUYGUUU